UACGUAGGGUGCAAGCGUUAAUCGGAAUUACUGGGCGUAAAGCGUGCGCAGGCGGUUUUUGUAAGUCAGAUGUGAAAUCCCCGGGCUUAACCUGGGAACUGCGUUUGAAACUACAAGGCUAGAGUGUGACAGAGGGGGGUGGAAUUCCACGUGUAGCAGUGAAAUGCGUAGAGAUGUGGAGGAACACCGAUGGCGAAGGCAGCCCCCUGGGUUAACACUGACGCUCAGGCACGAAAGCGUGGGGAGCAAACAGG
RNAcentral lists this ribosomal RNA (254 nucleotides) under uncultured bacterium. Its description in RNAcentral is "partial 16S ribosomal RNA". It matches the Rfam family "Bacterial small subunit ribosomal RNA", at positions 524 to 776 of the family's 1533-position model. The record is from RNAcentral.